UAGAGCGCGGCGGCCAUGUGUUUGGCUGAUUACAAACAUUUUUAAAAUUUCUUUAUCUUUUAGUUUCUUGGUCGAAUCUCAGCACUUGGAAUAAUUCGUGUUGAGCAUCGGUGUCAAGUGCGCAUGCACUACUAUUAGCAAAGUGAUUGAAAAGAUGGAACGGUGUCAGUUCACAGAAUCAAAUGUUUAACCUAACUUUUGCUUGGGCAGUGUAACAUUACUUACUGCUUUCUAUCAAUUUGUGCUGUUUUGAUUCUGAAAUGGUCACGAACAUAUUCAACAUUUUGAGUGGGAUGCCCUUUGAAGGCUUUGCAAGAAAAUUGGUGAAGCGCAAGUUGCUGGAUUACUCAGUGGACCCAACUGUACUGUACUACACCGGACUCCAAAGGAUCACGAGGAUUUGAAUUUACCAGCGGCUAGACUGCGAACUUGCUGUGAGAUGGAUCAGGGCCACACGGAUAAGCGGGAUGGAGUACAAGUUUUCAUCAAGAAAUUUUCUGCUCAUAUUUGGUCUAGUUUGAAUCUUUUUGUGCUGAUGGAACCCUGACUGUAAUAAAC
Molecule: long non-coding RNA, 558 nt
Organism: Frankliniella occidentalis (western flower thrips)
Lineage: Eukaryota; Metazoa; Arthropoda; Insecta; Thysanoptera; Thripidae
Exons: 3
Source: RefSeq, a predicted model, not a curated record